GUUCCUGGGCUAGGGGUCAAAUUGGAUCUGUAGCUGCUGUCCUAUACCACAGCCACAGCAACACCAGAUUCUUAACCCACUGAGUGAGGCCAGGGAUCAAGGCCACAUCCUCACAGAUACUGUGUUGAGUUCAUAACCCGCUGAGACACACUGGGAACUCCAAGUCCUACUUUAAGUGUCACAACUUGAGAGAAGCCUUCCCUGACCUACCUACUAAAAUAGCUCAUUCUUUAUCCUUUCAUUAUUAUUAUGUUGUACCAUAUCUUGUUGUCUAUCUCUCUCUCUCUCUAUAUAUAUAUCUAUCAUCUAUUUAUCUAUCAUCUACUAUCUAUACCUCCAUGACUAGAAUUUAGCUAGGAGUCUUAUUUUGACCUCACAGUAACUCCAGGGCACAGGCAGUGCCUGGUACAUAGGAGAUGCUUAGUAAAACCUUUUCAAAUACAUUACCUUUUUUUUCUUUUUCUCCAUGAAGGCUUUGCUUACAGCAGGUGCCAUUCAUUUUGCUCCUUGCUUGUGCUCUCUAGCCGGCAUUGCUAAUACCAUCUUUUUAAGCACAGGCUUUAUCUCCACAGCAGAUUACAGGUUCUAUAGACGGAAGGCGCAUGCCUUCUGCCCCUCUGGUGCUUGUGAAAUUUUGCUCCUAGUAGUGAUAAUUGGGUUGUUACUGCCUGCUAUUUAUAAUUAAAUAAUAAGUAGAAAACAAUAACAAGAAAAAAACCCAUUAUUGCUUGGCAUUUUAACAUGCUGUCAUGUUAUCCUGAAGUGUCCAGGUUGUUUUAAAAUCUUGCCAUUGCUUAAUGGUAUUUGACUGUGGCAUAUUAGCAAAGAAGUUCCCAGGUUGGACAGCUUCUUAGCUCAUGAGCCCUGAUAUUUCCCCAUUUUAUAGAAUUUCUGCUAGUGUUUUGGCUAAUUAUUAGACAUUUCCAAGGUUUGCUUGUAGUUUAUUUGUCAUUAGGGGAACUAAAUCUUAAUAUAAAAGACUAUGAAAUGCUGAGUGUACAAAGGGACAGUUUUAUAGAAUUAGUGAUUAAAAGAGCAUUGUCUCUGGAGCUGGGCCAUAUCAAUUCUUCUCUCAAUCUGUCAUAUUAUGACUUUUGUCAAAUUGCUUAAAUUCUCUUUGAUUUACAAUGUUGUGUUAAUUCCUGCUGUACAGCAAAGUGAUUCUCUUAAUUAAAUUAUAUUUGGAUAAUAUUAGUUGACUCUUUUCCAAGUUAUCCCUGAACAGAAAGAUAGAUAACAGGCCCUUGGUUAUUCAUUUGAAGUUAUAAUUACACAUUAUUUUCCAUGUUUGGAAGAUGAUCAUCCACUUUGCUCUUGUAAGAAAUAGAAAAAAAUAUAUAAUGGGAUUUGAAAACCACAAAAUAUAACCUGCUUUGCAAAGAUUUUGUAUUUAUUUUUUUAUCUUAUAUUUUACGUUUAUCUUAUAAAGGCUUGGAAAGCCUAAUAAGAAGAUCUUUUGGCAGUGUGUUAGGAAGUUGUUAUUUGUCACUUUUAGACUAUGCAUUGCCAAAUCUAAUGUCAGAAAAUUAAGAAGAAAAUACAUCAGAACCAGAAAAUAAAACCAACUGCAAAAAGAAAGGUGAAAUGACAAGUAACUUUUCUAGUCUAAGUCAAAUGAAAAGCAUAAAUGUAUUGGAAAGAAAUAUUAAAAACUAAGCAUUUACUUUAAGUUAUAAUGUUUUAUAUUUCUAUGAUGUCUCUUUAAAGAUUAUAUGUGCUCAUUUAAAAUUCAUUGCAAUCUGACUUUCUGUACUUAACAAUUAUAAACAGUGAAGAAUUUCUAUGCGCAGUUUUUUUAAAAGAAACACUUUGAAACGUUCAAGGUAAUUUUUGUUUUCCCUAAUUUACUUUAAAUUUAUAUUUUCUUUAAAAAUUAGUGAGCCUCUUCUACUGAACUAGGAAAAUAUUUCGUUUUUUAGCAUAGGCAACCUGCUUGCUAAGAAGACUCAACCCACAACAAGAUUUUUGUAGGAAUUUUAAUUCUAUAAAUAUAUCAGUUUAUAAUGGAAACAAGAGUGCACCAUUAACAACAGUGGAAGUGUAAACUCAUUUUCUCUCUAUGAAGAUCUUUCCAUUCUUCAUCUCUCUACUACUCGAAAUAAAAAUUGGUCAUAUUUGUGCCCAAAGAAACAUCAUCCAAAUACUUCUGACUAUAAUUCUGAGUGCCAUUGAAUCAAUGAUGGCUUGUUUUGGUCAGUCCUGUUACCUCCAGGGCACAAUGGAAACUAUACUCUUAAUAAAGAUGCUCUUGUCGUGAAAUCACUUCAAACAGUAUCACUAUCUGACAUUUUUAUUAAAUAUGCUAGCGAUGUUAAAUGCAUUUAUUGAAACUAUAGAUACUACUUAACAUUUUCCUUUUUAAAACAUGUUAUAGACAAGUUAUCUAAAGGGUUUCCUUUUGAAAAUAUGGCAUAAUUCCAGCCUAUUCAAGAGGGUGAAGCCCUGCACUGAUAAGUUAUUCAAUCUAUAAGUAUCAUAAUUCUUGAUCUCUGAAAAUGGAUAUUAGCCACAACAAACACCCCCUCCACCUACCUGCAUGCCAAUACAACCUCUAUCAACAGGUAUGCCUGCACUCCAUCUAACUACCUACAUGCCCAUAUUCCAAGACAUCAGGCUGUUUAACAUCUGGUCUUUUUGAUUCAGAGCUAGUGGAGACUGAGGGGAAAAAUUAGUUAACUUUGACCUAAGCAGAAAAUCCUGAAUAAACUAAGUCUCCAUCUAGAUCAUAUAUAUCUAACUUCCUUUUGAAAUUUGGGCAGAAGAGGGUAGAACUGAAGAAAGAGAUUGUCCAGAUUGAACAUACACAGUUCAUUGUUUGUUACUCUUUGACUACUUAUACAGCACAGGAAGCCCCAAAUCCAAAGUUCCCAUAGGCAGUUGACAUAUUUGAUGGCAUUAGGGCUAAAGUACAGCAUAAGUUAAAUCACAUUGGCUUGUAGUAUAUAAAAAUCAUAGAGAGAGGGGAAAAAAUAUCAAUGUUUUUCAAGAUAGAAAAGGAUGAAACUCAUGAAGCUAAGAACUGAUGUUAUCCAACUUUGGGUAAAGGCAACACACUCAUAUUAAGGGUUUUAGACUACUUUUAUAGGUAAAAGAGGUAGAUAAACAGGUAUUCUUAUAUGCAAUGAGAGAUUGGACUACCAACUCUAUAAACCAUCUAGUUACCUGGAUUUCAGAAGACAGCAGUUAGGUUACAUAGGUGCUAACACUGAUUUGAUGAGUGCAUGGCACGGUGGUGUAAGGAAACAAAGAUCAAUGUUAAAAUGACUGUGAGAAUCUCUGAGGAGUACACACAGAUCAAUACCUGUGUAACUCAUAGACUAUCAUCCUCUUCUCGGAGUCUUUUAAGAAAGUGAAGCCAAUUCUACUGAGAUGUUUUCCCACUCUCCCAAUGAACUGUAAAUUAUCAUUGUCAAGCACGGUACUAAAAUGUUUCUUUCUUGCAACUUAAAGACACUUGGAACAUUAACUGCCCUGAAAAAAAAUUAAAUGACUAAAGUUUUCUUUGACUUUCCUCCUAAAGUGUACUUGAGUCAAAAUCAUUUUGCCUCGGAGCAUAUUGUCUUUGCUGACUGGGUCUACAAAGUUGGGCCAACCCAGAGCCCAUCCAGCUAGUCAGUUUCUUUCACAGCUUCCAUUGGGGGUUGGGGAUUUAAGCAAAUUGCUAAGUUCUUCUCUAGCUCAUGUAACCCCCAAAUAAAAUGGCUAAUGCUUUGGGUCUUUAGCAAACCAAACCGUAUUUCUAAAUUAAAGCUCCUACUCUUCUUAGAUGUAAUCAGUAAAUAGAUAAGUAAAUGGACUCAGAGGUAUUUGGCUUCCUGAAAGGGGUGUCCCCCUCCCAUUUGUUAUGCCUAUCCUGAGCAAUGAUGAGUAUGAGAGAGUGGCUGGUGAGAGUCUUCUUAAACCAUGGACACAUUUUGAGUAUGGAACGGAGGCAUUUAUUUAAACAAGUAGGGGUUCAUUCUCUGGUUCACAUGGUACUGCAGUUUUUCAUGUCCAUUAACUACCUACUAUGCCCACACUUGAGCCCCUGUGCAAAUAUUAAAAUAAGUUCAUUUUUCAAGGGAAAAAACAUCUCAGGAGAUUCAUUUCACAUAGUGUUUGAAUAACAUUAAGUGAACUGAGCAAAAAUAAGAUGCUAAUGCAAUUAGUGCAGUUAGAUUUUAAACUUGAUGAAUUUAAAAAAAUCCUCUGCUAAAGGAUAACUGCAAAACCUAAUAUGUUUCUCAUUAUAACAUUUGGGAAAAAUACAAUGUCGUGUCUUGAAAUAAUUUGACUUUUUAAAUGUGUUAAACAUUUUUUCUUUUUGUUACUGUUUCUAAAAUAGAAAGUCUAUUGGGAACAAAUUUGAUUGUCCUGUAUAACUUAAUCUUUAAGACUAAACUGAAUCCUUCAUUAUCAUUCACUCUGGCACUUCAAAGAAACCAUAACACACAGCAUCUUUUUAUUAGGCCCCUCUAGCUAUGACUUAAUAAUAUGAAUAGUUCAUAUAAUGAAUUUUAAAUGGGUCCAAUGUGAUCUAUAGAAAACAUUUGAUAUAAUAUUUACAACCAUCAUGAAAUAAAAUGUUUUUCUCCUUUUUACAGAUGAGGAAACUGAAGUUCAGGGAGGUUAAGUGAUUUCCCCAAUGGCGUAUAGUUGUAAGGGGAAGAGAAAACUCUAACUUGAAAAUUUGCGGUAUAAUUUUAUUCAAAAGUAUUUUUGAAAGCCACUUUCUAGGCUUUGCUCAAUGUGAAGAGACUGUGAAACAGAGUAUCAUACAAUAUUUGCCUUGGUGGAGCUUACAGACACGUGUAUGUGUAUUCAAGGAAGCUUGUGCACAUGAGGAGAGAUAGAAAUGUAUAAUAAGUUAAAAUAAAAAUGACAAAAGCUAGAUGUAAAAAUAAAUUCAAAACGUGUAGUAUUACAAAA
RNAcentral lists this long non-coding RNA (4908 nucleotides) under Sus scrofa (pig). Its description in RNAcentral is "lncRNA (ENSSSCG00035037940.1, ENSSSCG00055016691.1)". The record is from RNAcentral. Lineage: Eukaryota; Metazoa; Chordata; Mammalia; Artiodactyla; Suidae.